GGUGACAUAGACUGCACCCAAAA
This 23-nucleotide small nuclear RNA is filed under the name Arabidopsis thaliana (thale cress). RNAcentral describes it as "snRNA_13356". Lineage: Eukaryota; Viridiplantae; Streptophyta; Magnoliopsida; Brassicales; Brassicaceae. The record is from RNAcentral.